Rhinichthys klamathensis goyatoka is the source of this 73-nucleotide non-coding RNA. NCBI's taxonomy places the organism in Eukaryota, Metazoa, Chordata, Actinopteri, Cypriniformes, Leuciscidae. The record is from the annotation of a RefSeq genome assembly.
GUUUCCGUAGUGUAGUGGUUAUCACGUUCGCUUUACACGCGAAAGAUCCUCAGUUCGAAACUGGGCGGAAACA